RNAcentral lists this non-coding RNA (218 nucleotides) under Sphingomonas sp. The record is from RNAcentral. Lineage: Bacteria; Pseudomonadati; Pseudomonadota; Alphaproteobacteria; Sphingomonadales; Sphingomonadaceae.
GGAUGUUUGGCGGGUCGAGGUUCUCCGUGCAUGCGGAUGCGCGGAGCUAAGACGGGAAGCCGGUGCGCGCCUUGACGGGCGCAAUGCCGGCGCUGCCCCCGCAACUGUAAGCGGCGAGCGGCGGCCAUCGAGUGUCACUGACGGUGCGAGCCGUCGGGAAGGCCAGGCCGACGUGACGACCCGCGAGCCAGGAGACCUGCCUCCGACGCGAUAACGUC